UACGGGGGGAGCAAGCGUUGUUCGGAUUUACUGGGCGUAAAGGGCGCGUAGGCGGUCGUGACAAGUCACUUGUGAAAUCUCCGGGCUUAACUCGGAACGGUCAAGUGAUACUGUCGGACUAGAGUACAGAAGGGGCAACUGGAAUUCUCGGUGUAGCGGUGAAAUGCGUAGAUAUCCGGAGGAACACCGGUGGCGAAGGCGGCUUCCUGGACCGACACUGACGCUGAGGCGCGAAAGCCAGGGGAGCAAACGGG
This 254-nucleotide ribosomal RNA is filed under the name uncultured bacterium. RNAcentral's name for it is "partial 16S ribosomal RNA". It matches the Rfam family "Bacterial small subunit ribosomal RNA", at positions 524 to 776 of the family's 1533-position model. The record is from RNAcentral.